ACGCUGGCGGCGGCUUACACAUGCAAGUCGAACGCCCCGCAAGGGGAGUGGCAGACGGGUGAGUAACACGUGGGAACGUCCCCCUCGGUUCGGAAUAACUCAGGGAAACUUGAGCUAAUACCGGAUACGUCCGAGAGGAGAAAGAUUUAUCGCCGAGGGAUCGGCCCGCGUCUGAUUAGCUAGUUGGUGAGGUAACGGCUCACCAAGGCGACGAUCAGUAGCUGGUCUGAGAGGAUGACCAGCCACACUGGGACUGAGACACGGCCCAGACUCCUACGGGAGGCAGCAGUGGGGAAUCUUGGACAAUGGGCGAAAGCCUGAUCCAGCCAUGCCGCGUGAGUGAUGAAGGCCUUAGGGUUGUAAAGCUCUUUCGACGGGGACGAUAAUGACGGUACCCGUAGAAGAAGCCCCGGCUAACUUCGUGCCAGCAGCCGCGGUAAUACGAAGGGGGCUAGCGUUGUUCGGAAUUACUGGGCGUAAAGCGCACGUAGGCGGACAUUUAAGUUGGAGGUGAAAGCCUUGGGCUCAACCCAAGAAUUGCCUUUGAUACUGGAUGUCUC
Molecule: ribosomal RNA, 560 nt
Filed under: uncultured bacterium
Lineage: Bacteria
Description: bacterial SSU rRNA
Rfam family: Bacterial small subunit ribosomal RNA
Source: RNAcentral